RNAcentral lists this ribosomal RNA (439 nucleotides) under uncultured bacterium. Its description in RNAcentral is "partial 16S ribosomal RNA". It matches the Rfam family "Bacterial small subunit ribosomal RNA", at positions 339 to 795 of the family's 1533-position model. The record is from RNAcentral.
CUACGGGAGGCACCAGUGAGGAAUAUUGCACAAUGGAGGAAACUCUGAUGCAGCAACGCCGCGUGGAGGAUGACGCAUUUCGGUGUGUAAACUCCUUUUAUAUGUCAAGAAAAUGGCGGUAGCAUAUGAAUAAGCACCGGCUAACUCCGUGCCAGCAGCCGCGGUAAUACGGAGGGUGCAAGCGUUACUCGGAAUCACUGGGCGUAAAGGACGCGUAGGCGGGAUAUCAAGUCAGGUGUGAAAUCCUACAGCUUAACUGUAGAACUGCACUUGAAACUGGUAACCUAGAGUAUGGGAGGGGGAGAUGGAAUUAGUGGUGUAGGGGUAAAAUCCGUAGAUAUCACUAGGAAUACCUAAAGCGAAGGCGAUCUCCUGGAACAUAACUGACGCUAAGGCGUGAAAGCGUGGGGAGCAAACAGGAUUAGAUACCCCUGUAGUC